This 515-nucleotide ribosomal RNA is filed under the name uncultured bacterium. Its description in RNAcentral is "bacterial SSU rRNA". It matches the Rfam family "Bacterial small subunit ribosomal RNA", at positions 366 to 896 of the family's 1533-position model. The record is from RNAcentral.
GCACAAUGGGCGAAAGCCUGAUGCAGCAACACUGCGUGAAGGAUGAAGGCCUUCGGGUCGUAAACUUCUUUUCUUGGGGAAUAAUCUUGAAGUUACCCAAGGAAUAAGCACCGGCUAACUACGUGCCAGCAGCCGCGGUAAUACGUAGGGUGCAAACGUUAUCCGGAUUUACUGGGCGUAAAGAGCUCGUAGGUGGAUUAGAAAGUCAGAUAUUAAAGACCCAAGCUCAACUUGGGGAGUGUAUCUGAAACUCUUAGUCUAGAGGUACGCAGGGGAGAACGGAACUUACGGUGUAGCGGUGGAAUGCGUAGAUAUCGUAAGGAACGCCAAUGGUGAAGACAGUUCUCUGGGCGAUACCUGACACUGAGGAGCGAAAGCGUGGGUAGCGAUCGGGAUUAGAUACCCCGGUAGUCCACGCCGUAAACGAUGCAUACUAGGAACUCGGAGUAUCGACCCUCUGGGUUUCGAAGCUAACGCGUUAAGUAUGCCGCCUGGGUAGUACGGCCGCAAGGCUA